This 253-nucleotide ribosomal RNA is filed under the name uncultured bacterium. RNAcentral describes it as "partial 16S ribosomal RNA". It matches the Rfam family "Bacterial small subunit ribosomal RNA", at positions 524 to 776 of the family's 1533-position model. The record is from RNAcentral.
UACGUAGGUGGCAAGCGUUAUCCGGAAUUAUUGGGCGUAAAGAGCGCGCAGGUGGUUAAUUAAGUCUGAUGUGAAAGCCCACGGCUUAACCGUGGAGGGUCAUUGGAAACUGGUUGACUUGAGUGCAGAAGAGGGAAGUGGAAUUCCAUGUGUAGCGGUGAAAUGCGUAGAGAUAUGGAGGAACACCAGUGGCGAAAGCGGCUUCCUGGUCUGCAACUGACACUGAGGCGCGAAAGCGUGGGGAGCAAACAGG